UACGUAGGCAGCGAGCGUUGUUCGGAGUUACUGGGCGUAAAGAGCGUGUAGGCGGUCUAGCAAGUCAGAUGUGAAAGCCCGGGGCCUAACUCCGGAAGUGCAUUUGAAACUGCUAGGCUUGAGUGAUGUAGAGGUUGGCGGAAUACCCAGUGUAGAGGUGAAAUUCGUAGAUAUUGGGUAGAACACCGGUGGCGAAGGCGGCCAACUGGGCAUUAACUGACGCUGAGACGCGAAAGCGUGGGGAGCAAACAGG
RNAcentral lists this ribosomal RNA (253 nucleotides) under uncultured bacterium. RNAcentral describes it as "partial 16S ribosomal RNA". It matches the Rfam family "Bacterial small subunit ribosomal RNA", at positions 524 to 776 of the family's 1533-position model. The record is from RNAcentral.